UAAGGGAAAAAAUUGAUAUUACCUUACUAUUAGUGUUGUCUAAAUAACUGGUGCCAGAAGACUCGGUAACACCAGAAACGCGAACGUUAGUCGUCUUAAACAGGCGUAAAGGGUAAGUAGGCUGCUUUAAAGUCUAUUUUAAAAUAAGCUAAUUAAUAAUACUACAACCUUUCUGCGUCUUUCGCGUAGAGAGGGAGUAAGGCCCUAUCUAAAAAUUUUAUUGAUUUCAGACCUUAAAUUAAAAAUUAAGGGAAAAUUAAAUGAAAAUAGGGAUUAUUAUUAGAUCCGCAUAACUUAUAAUAAUUAAUUAUUAAUUUUGACAAAAAUAGAUACACUUAAAGCUAGAAUCUUAAUUGAGAUAAACCAAAUAAUGCUUAUGUGUAAGGGCGAUAUCUGAAAAUACUAAGUAGAAUACUAACGGUGAAAACUUGUUAUCUGGUAAUGAUUGACGCUGAGGUACGAAAGUGAGAACAGGGAAUAGGAUGUGCGACUUGAAAGCUUAAAUAAUGUACAGUAUUCUAAGAUACAUAUCNUUCGUCUGAUAAUAGCCUACCUAAACAUGCAAACUAGUAAUGGUUUGUGUAAGCUAAGGGAAAGUAUUAAGUAUC
RNAcentral lists this ribosomal RNA (608 nucleotides) under Inocybe geophylla var. lateritia. RNAcentral's name for it is "16S ribosomal RNA". Lineage: Eukaryota; Fungi; Basidiomycota; Agaricomycetes; Agaricales; Inocybaceae. The record is from RNAcentral.